Molecule: unclassified non-coding RNA, 169 nt
Filed under: uncultured Neonectria
Lineage: Eukaryota; Fungi; Ascomycota; Sordariomycetes; Hypocreales; Nectriaceae
Description: sequence contains ITS2
Source: RNAcentral
CAACCCUCAAACCCCCGGGUUUGGUGUUGGAGAUCGACACGAAGCCCUUCUGGGUGUGAAGUCGUCUCCCAAAUAUAGUGGCGGUCUCGCUGUAGCUUCCUAUGCGUAGUAGCACACCUCGCACUGGAAAGCAGCAAGCCCACGCCGUUAAACCCCCCACUUUCUGAGU